AGCAGCAUGGCGCAGUUGGAAGCGCGUUGGGCUCAUACGCUCCAGUUACGUCAACCCAAAGGUCGCUCGAUCGAAACGAGCUGCUGCUA
Non-coding RNA from Heliocybe sulcata, 89 nucleotides. The record is from the annotation of a GenBank genome assembly. Lineage: Eukaryota; Fungi; Basidiomycota; Agaricomycetes; Gloeophyllales; Gloeophyllaceae.